Long non-coding RNA from Eucalyptus grandis, 7980 nucleotides. RefSeq lists it as uncharacterized. Lineage: Eukaryota; Viridiplantae; Streptophyta; Magnoliopsida; Myrtales; Myrtaceae. The record is from RefSeq and is a predicted model, not a curated record. The transcript has 3 exons.
GAUCAAGCAUAACUGGGCAGAUCUUUGGACAAACUAUAACAGCGGGUUGACAGCAAAUCCAUCUAAGCAUGGUUCCUAGCAGAUUUGAGGUCCUGUCUCUUUACAUGAUCUUGUGUCUUAGGACAAAGUAUAAAGGGGGAUGGUUCUUAGUUGCGUCAAAGUGUGGUCAGUAGUCUUAUUAUUAAAAAAAAAUUUCAGUUGACUCGAUGUCCUAUAGCUCAUAUAUCUAUACGUUCUUGGUGGAAUUUUGACAUAGGCAGACUUUGAUGACUUCUAUGGCUGGUCUGUUUACUCCUCUUCCCUCCAAGGGAAUUGACUUUUACUUUGCUUAAAAAAAAAAAAAAAAAAAGAAAUUUUGCUUAUGCUAUCAUUUUUGGGAAAAAGUUCUAAGAAAGGAAAAAGUGAUUCACGAACUUAGUGUGGGAUAAGAAGAAAGUUGGUACUUGUAUCACUCAUUUUUCAUAUAAAUUUUAGUUUGUUGGAGUAAUACAAAUGAGAUUAUUGAAAGAAGUCUGUUUAGUUUUGUUGCCUUCUCCACCCUUUUGGAUUCAGAUUCCAGAUAUAUGCUGAGCCAAAAUUUCUGUCAGGAGGCUGUGACUAUAGUUGCGCGAGCUGAUCAUCACAACUGGUAUCCAAUGAUGCAAUUAAACUUUCUUUUCACUCCACACUUGAUUUCUUUUUUCUGUUUUGGUAUGAGGACCUUGGUUGCUUUUUUCCCCAUUUAUUAUUGAGCUGAAUGUCAUAGCAUUCUCUCUUGUCAGCCCUGUGGCUGCUUCCCCAUCGGUUGUUGAAGGAUAAGAUUCUAUUUCUCAUUCCCCCAACAAUCUUCCUCCUGUUAAAUGGCUUGCAUUACUUGGGUCUUCCCAACUUACAUAUUUUUGUUGGUCUGUUUCCCGUUAUUGAAUGGUGUAGAGUCUCUGCAAGGUAUACUUUGGUCUUCUGUCAGCCAUAUUCUAAAGUUAUGGUACUGCAUCUAAAUAAUCCAAUAUAUUCACUAGUUACCUAGUUCUCUUAUUGAAAAUCCUAUUGUUGUGCACAUAACAAGAUUUUAUGGAUGCUCUCUCAUUCUUUUAUUGAGAAAAGGAAUCAAAUCACUAGUUCAUGUACUUUGGUUUAUAGAUUAGAAAUUAGGUAUAGUUGUUAGUCUCCACUUGGCAUUUUGACUAUGCUACAACCAAUGGAUAUUGUGCUUUUUUUCCUUCCAAAAAACCUUACCCAGAAACCUUGAAAACAUCUUAAUGAAAUCUUGUACAUUUGUGUAUGUAAGUGCUAUAUCCAUUCUUCUUGUUAUUAUCUGUUUUAAACACUGUAUAUCAACUUCCACUAGUGUACAAAUUUAUGCGUUUGUUAUGUCUCUCUAACUCUAUGUUCUACCUUUUUCCUUAGAGGUCAGGAAAGAGGAUCUUUGUGCUUCAACUAUGGGAAGAGGGAAGGAUCUCUUGACUUCGUUUAGUUUUGUGCAGCUUGGAUAUAUUUAAAAUAAAUGAGGAGGAAGCGUUUAUUGCAUAGAUCUAUUUCCUAUUCACCUUUUCCAUAAGAGUAUUGUCUGAUUCUACUUGUGCUAGGUGUUGGCUGGAUGAUGUUAUAAGCAUCCGCACCUCAACACUUUGGUCAGAUAUUCUUUUUACAUCUCUUUUUAUCCAAUUUACAUAUUUCUUUUGUUUUGUGAGUUAAAUCUUUUGCGAUAGUGUGGUAGACCAUCAUAUUAAUAUUACUACAAGCCCUUUGUUUAGGCAACUUCACUUUUAUGCCUUACAUUCCAAUUCUUUCUACUGCUUUUUGUUAGAACUUUUAAUAUUGCUUUCUUCAUACAUUUUCAUUAUCAAGCAGUCAUAUUCCUUGUGUCACAAAACUGAUUAGAGAACCCGCAGAAAGUAGAAAGAGAGAAAGAAGGAAGAGAGAAGAAAAAGAGAGGAGGAGAAAGAGAAUGUAAAAGAAAGAAAGAGAGGGCUAUAGUUUUCUGUAAUCACAGAAACCCUACACCCAUUGUAUUUAUAUUGAAUAUAAAUUGUAUAUAACAAUAAUAUCCUUAUGUAAGUAAAAAAGGAAAUAAAACUCUGAUAAUAAAGGAAACUUAAUAAAGUAACUUAACACCUUGUUCCUUGAGGUUCUUGUCCAUAUGGAUUUUCAUGAAGAGCAUGCCUUUUGACUAGGCAAAGAGCAGUAUCUAUGGAAGUACGGUCACCUAAGGUGCAGUGCCCCAUUUCUCAUGACUGUUGAAUACAGAUGUCAACUGCAUAAUCUUUUCCCAGAAUAGGAUACUAGUGUCUUUGAGAAACGUUUUAAUCAGAAUGUAUGUCUCUUGGUAUCCGCCUGCUGUCCAAAUAACAAUGCCAAUGACUGUGAUAUGGUGGACUUUUCUUGAUCAAACCAAUCCUGCUUUCGCUUGCUCCAUCUUGGCUAAGUAAAUGUUUUUCACCACAUCCUCUAGUUUGUCUAUUUUGAUAAUUAUUGCUGCCUCAAUGGUGUGAUCUCAAUGGUGUAAUCAAUAAAUGCGCUAUGUCUGUAGCAUAAAUGAAUCAACAGUCAUGUCUCAUCUGGAUGGCCUUUACCUUUGAAAGUCAAUGUGGAUCUCUAUUUAAUCAAUGGAUGAUUACUUUACUGGAUGAAUUUAGAGAAGUGAAUUGUGUACUUUUUUCCAGUUUACUUUUUGGUAUUUGCUUAUUUUCAAUUAUGGAUAGCACUGUGAUUCUUCGCUAGGAACAUUGAUCUGGCAAUUGGACAUAUUUUGCCUCUCCUUGCUUCUGUGUUUUGUCCUCGUGUUGUUCUUUACCAUUUUCCAAUUGGGAAAUUUGUGUCACCUAUACUGAAAAUAUCAGGGGUGACCUCAGCUGUUUGGCAAAGUCCCUUUGUCAUGUUGAUCAACUACAAGGUGAUGAUAGUUUGCAGCUAUCAAAUGCUGGGAUUGCACUUGCUAUAAACAUGCAUGAAUUGUACACUUUGCUGUAUCAAUUGGAUGAUGUUUGAAUAUCGUUUAAAUAGAAUUUUAUGGUGGUUUGUUACUUCCCUCAGUUUUUUACAGUCUGUGGAACAAAUACUUUACGCGAGACAUGCUGCAGAAUUAAUACUGUAUUGUGUUAUUGUUAGUUCACAGGGUGGGAUAUUGUUGCAGGAUGACUUAUAUUGGAGGUUUCAGCAUAAAUUUGGAAUGCAGCGACAACCAUAGCAAUUGAAGCCUUAUUCAGAGCUUCAACUUAGUUAUGUAUGCUCUAUGAAUCCAUCUAAUAACAUGACUAUCAUUUUAUAUUAAGCUCUCUAGGAUCAAAUUCUUCAAAUUAUUUUUUCAUCGUCUCUUUCCUCAUCUUUUUGGGUCUUCCUUUGGACACACACUUCAUAAAGAAGCUUGUGCUCCAGUGGAAUUGGUUCAAAUUUUUGCCAAUCUCUCAUUGGGCAGCAUCUUUGAAUUUUUUUACCAAGAGAAUAGUACCUGUAUAAAUUAUAUUUUUUUUCUUGCUAGAUACUUGCAAUGCUAUAGUUGUAUUGUCCUGACAUCAGUAAAACUGAUGCUAACGUGAUGUAGUAUCCAAAUUUGUUGCAGGAAGCCAAUGAUUGUAAUAUUUGUUGGACUUUACUUGAUCGAAUGCUGUCUAUGCUUGCUCCUGUGUUUAAAUCAAGAUAUUUCUAUGCUUGCUCCGUCUGUGUUUAAAUCAGGAUAUUUAAUCUUUUAUGUUAUCCACUAGUUGUCCUAUAUUUAUAUAUUAUUCAUUGUUGCAAUCUUGUUUCCUUAGAAUGAGCUGUUCAAUAAAUGUGCUCCAUUGGUGGCACAUACUUGAAGCAACAGUCCUGGUCUUAUCAGAACUGCUGUCUUAAUUUGAAAGUCUAUGUGGAUCUACUCGGUCAAUGGAUGGCUACUUUAUUGGAUAAAUUUGCAGAAAAAUGAACUAACUUAUUUUUCAUGUUUAGUAUUUAAUAUUCUCUUCUUAUAAAUCCAAUUUGCACUUUUCUGAUCUUUUUAAUUGUUAGAGAUUCUUCACCAAGAACAUUGAACUGGCAGCUGGAUGCAUUACACUCCUACUAGAAGUGAUUCCCUGGGUUGUUAAGGUCUUAAGCACUCAAAAUGGUCACUCCCUUGUCUAUGCAGAAUUAUUUCUGGGUUGUGAUUCGGUAGAAUCAUGUUUAGAUUCGCUUGACUUGGAAGUAUUUUUGAUGUUAUGCUUUUAAUUAGUUGACGGCAUGAUUAUCAGAAAUGCCAUUAGAUAUGGAAGUAAGCACUUAUGUCCAGUUUCUGGUACUAUUGACAACUUGUAGUGAUGCUGAGCACUUCUGUGUUUGCGCUAUAGUAACCUAGUUCUUGUUUAAAAAAAUGAAUGUUCUCGAUUAAAUUUGCUACCUACCUACCUCGAGUCAUAUGUAUGAAAGCUAUCUCUAAUUCUGAUUUUUAAGUAUUUUUUCGUUUUACUCAUUUUCCUUCUUGUUGAUGCUUACCUUGCAAGGCUACAUGGUUUGCACUGUCAUUAAUCAAAAGAGGCAACAAAAAUUGAGAACUAAUUGGGAUGCCAGUCAACUUAUAGAUCUUUGUACCAAUGAAGAGGUCCUGGUGUAUCUUCUUAGCCUUUAAGUGACCUGAAUCUGUUGUUGAGAAUUUGUCUGCCUAUGGUUUUUCUUGACAGGUUGGCUAAGCAUGUAAUCUCAACUGACUGUGUACUGUUUUUGCGGCCAUUUGCUACUCUACUCUUGAGAUUUACUUUAGAUUUUGAAACAUCUGUAAUGAUUAUGAUGAUGGAGCUAUCUGAAGAAGUUUGAUGUCUGUAUUUGACUUCUUUCAGAAUCCCUCAUUCUAAUUUGAAGUCAAAACUAGACUUUCUCUCUGGAUGAUCAUCUCUUUCUUUGGACGACAAAGUGGGAGAUGAGGGUUUUGUUGCUGAUUCUGACUCUGUUUAUUUGAAGAAACUGGGACUUUCUAUUUGCACGUCCUUUAUCUCUGGGUUGUCUUGCUGAUUUCCAAUCUCUAGCCAGGUGCAUUGAUAUGUGUGUCACAGCUCCUUCAUUUCUUAAUCAUUGCUGACAAAUUUCAAGCAUUGUUGAUAAUAGAAUGCCAGGGAUUUUGCUCUUUCUUAUAUAUGGUGGCUUAACUUGGCCUUCGUAUAUUCAGCCAUUGACAGGUGCUUGCUCCAGUUUGGAGAAUUCUCUUCAGCUAAGUGUGUCACGUGAAGAUGGUAUAGGAUUCAGUGAUCAAAGAAUUCAAGCUUGUCAAGUGGGUGAAAGCAGGACACAAUAGCGUAUAGAUGAGUAGCCUAAUCAUCUUCUUUGUGGAUAGGAGCCAUCAGCUGAAAUUGGAUCCUUCUAAUAUGGAUUGUCUAUAGCUGCUUGAGAACCCAGAUAAAUCUGGUUCUAUCUUUAUUUCAAGGAUUAAAGGAAAUGCGUGGAAUGAGUAGUGUUCUCCUCUUGUAGGUUGGGGUCUUCUUGCUGCAAAUCAGGUAGCACACAAUGUUGGGAGUUUGACUUUAUGGACUACAGACCAGAUCAGAAUCCAUGUCUGCGCUUGCGAUGAGAAACCCUGGAUAGAUCUGGUUCUAUUUAUUUCCAAGGAUAAAGGAGAUACGCGGAAUGUGUAGUGUUCUCCUCUUGUAGGUUGGAGUCUUCUUGCUGCAAAUUAUGUUGCGUUUCUCAUCUUUGUCUGCAAAAUUCACUGGAUAAACUACAAUUGAAUUGUGUGUUGUGCUUUUGAAUUGUGCUUCCAACUGCAGUCGUUGCUUUCUUGGUCAUUAGGUGGGCCACAUUGUUGGUUGUUUAUGGACUAGAGACCAGGUCUGACUACGUUCAUUAUCUCUAUCAGAUGUUUCUGCCUUACACUUGCGAUAUGGGAUAUUGAUUGCAGUUAUUCACUAAUAUUAUGGCAGAUCAGAUUAUCCAUGUCUACAUUUGCGAUGAGCAACCCUAGAUAGAUCUGGUUCUAUAUUUAUUUUCAAGGAUUAAAGGAAAUGUGUGGAAUGUGUGGUUGGAGUCUUCUUGUUACAUUUCUCAUCUUUGUCUGCAAAAUUCACUGGAUAAACUACAAUUGAAUUGUGGGUGUAAAGCUAUGGAUGCUUUUGAAUGGUGCUUCCAACUGUAGUUGUUGCUUUCUUGGUCAUUAGGUUGCGUACACUGUUGGGAGUUUGACUUUGUGGACUAGAGACCUGUUCUGACUAUUUUUCUUAUCUCUAUCAGAUGGUUCUACCAUACACUUGUGAUAUGGGAUAUUGAUUGCAGUUAUUCACUAAUACCAUGGCAGAUCAGAUUAUUCAUGCCUACACUUGCGAUGAGAAACCCUGCAUAGAUCUCUUUCCACCUUUAAUUUCAAGGAUUAAAGGAGAUGCGUGGAAUGUAUAGUGUUCUCCUCUUUUAGGCUGGAGUCUUCUUGCUGCAAAUCAUGUUGCGUUUCUCAUCUUUGUCUGCAAAAUUCACUGGGUAAAGUACAAUUGAAUUGUGUGUCCAAAGCUAUGGGUGCUUUUGAAUUGUGCUUCCAACCUUACACUUGCGAUGUGGGAUGUUGAUUGCAGUUAUUCACUAGUACUAUGGCAGAUCAGGUUAUCCAUGUCUACAUUCAAUUUGUUUGGUUCACCCUGUAAUCACUAUAUCAGGGAGCUCUUUCUUCUGGAUGCUCUUAUUUUAAUCUUCUCCUUAUCUAAAUUUGCCUUGCGAAUGAUUUUCUAUUUCUUGUGUAUUGACAUUGUGAAUCACUUGGCCACAAGUUUCCUCAAUCCCUGCACAUGGAUUCUCCAAUUACUCUCCAAAACUCAUCAAGCAGUACCGAUUUCUCAUCAGGAAGCUAGCAAUGAUAAACCUUCGAACUAUAUCUGCAAGAAUAAUGAAUGUGGGAAUUUGGAUGGUUUGGAUGUUCUUGUCAUCUUUUUUACAUCUACUCUUUGAUUGAGAUGGUAUGCUGUUGUCUCUUUUGGCAGGUCAUAUGAUGUUGGAGCUAUGCAUAAGUUAGCUGGUGUAGAAUUUAAGGAUAAGCAGUUCUCAAGACCUCGCAUAGGAAUUCACACUUCCUGCACAGGAUGUGUGGAGCUGUUCCUGCUUAUUGUCUGUCAGUUUCUUAGUUUGUUGAGCAAAUUUUUGCGAUUUUGUCGCCUAUACUGAACAUAUCAGGGGUGACCUCAGCUGUUUGGCAAAGUCCCUUUGUCACGUUGAUCAUGUACAAGGUGAUGAUAGUUUGCAGCUGUCAAAUGCUGGGAUUGUACUUGCUGUAAACAUGCAUGGAUUGUACACUUUGCAGCAUCAGUUGGAUGAUUUUCGAAUAUCAUUCAAAUAAAUUUUAUGGUGGCUUGUUUCUUCCCUUGGUCUUUUACAUUUUUGUGGAACAAAUGCUUCAUGUAAGAUGUGCACAUGACGUGUUAUUUUCAGUUUGCAGGGUGGGAUAUUGUUGCAGGAUGACUUAUGUUGGAGGUUUCAGCAUAAAAUUGGCAUACAGUAACAACUAUAGCAAUUGAAGCCUUAUUCAGAGCUUCAACUAAGUAGCGUUUGCUGUAUGAAUCCAUCUAUAUGACAUGACUAUUAUUCUAUAUUAAGCUCUCUAGGAUCAAAUUCUUCAAAUAUUUUUUUAUGAUAUCCUAAUGUACCUGCUAGUUAGUCCUAUAUUUAUACAUUAUUCAUUGGUGCAAUCUUGUUUCCUGGAAUGUACGCUCAAUAAAUGUUCUCCAUUGAUGGCACAUACUUGAAGCAAUAGUCCUGGUCUUAUCAGGACUGUUGUCUUUCUUUGAAAGUUGAUGUGGAUCUACUCGGUCAAUGGAUGGCUUCCUUGCUGGAUGAAUCUGCAGAAACGUGAACUAAAUCAUUUGUCAUGUUUAGUGUUUAAUAUUCUCUUCUUAUAAAUCCAAUUUGUACUUUGGCGAUCUUUCUAUUACUAGAGAUUCUUCACUAAGACAUUGAACUGGCAGCUGGACAUAUUACACUCCUACUAGAAGGGAUUCCCUGAGUCGUUCAGGUCUUAAGCACCCACAAUGGUCACCCUUCUCCGUGCUUCAAGUUUUUGGUUUUUUUUGGUAAAUUUUUUCCAAU